This 669-nucleotide long non-coding RNA is filed under the name Elaeis guineensis (African oil palm). RNAcentral describes it as "long non-coding RNA (EGUI_LNC030853)". Lineage: Eukaryota; Viridiplantae; Streptophyta; Magnoliopsida; Arecales; Arecaceae. The record is from RNAcentral.
UACACUAAGAUUUCAAGAAGUAUUGACUCUCCAUUAGUAUCUGAUUUUUUUUUUUUAAUGAAAUAUCUUAUCCAUCAAAUGGUUUAAUCAAUAAAGGAUCAGCUGUAGUAUACUAGCCUUUGUCUUGGGAAGUCAAGGGAUUAAUCAGAGAGAGGGUUUCCAAGGAAAAAAAAUAGGAAGACCAUCCAUAAAUUAUGCAUGUGAAUAUUGCACUUAAAAUUGAUGUAUGAAUAGAUAAUGACCAUGGCAAGCUAAUUCACAAUAAAUAAAAAAACUAAAGAUUUACUUUGGUGCAUGAUUUCACAAAACGUGAGCAUAAGACUUGUGUAACAAAUUAAAUAAUCCUACUAAGUAAAAUAGGACAUCAGUAAAAAAUGUAAUAGGUUGUAAUAUUUAUGGAAGAUGGAUUUGGCUAUUAUGUUUGUGAAAAAGCUGAAGUGAGCUCCCAGUACUAAUGAUCUUUCUAUAACGUAAUUCUUAUAUAUAUAUAUAUUAUAAAGAAUUACUACAAGAAUGGUCUAACUAGAGUUAGGGUAAAGUUAGGAUCUAACCAAAUCAUCAAUAUCUAAAAUUUGGUAGCUUUUUUUUCUUUUUUAUCCAACAUCAAGUGACUUUACCAACACAAACCUUUAAAUCUUGUACUGUAAUUUGACUAUUUUGUGAUCCAUU